This is a non-coding RNA of Malus domestica (apple), 366 nucleotides long. The record is from RefSeq and is a predicted model, not a curated record. NCBI's taxonomy places the organism in Eukaryota, Viridiplantae, Streptophyta, Magnoliopsida, Rosales, Rosaceae.
UCUUUUUUGGUUUUUGACGGAUUAUAUGAGAUUUUAUUGCUGUUAGUUUGAUGAAGUUCUCGAUUCAUGACCAUAUAUUUUUUCAACUUGUACCAUUUGGUUUCUGUUGACUUUUAACUCUGAGUUGUAAUGGUGCUUGUGUUUUCUAAAUUUCUUCCAAUAGCUUAGUUUUGGUAUUUUGUUUGUGUAUAUCUCUUCAAAGCAAUUCUCGGAGUUGCAAUCUUACCAGCUACGAAAAGGAAAGUUAUUGAGAAAAUUUGGAGAGAAGGGCCUCCUAAAUUAUUAUGGCCACCAUAAGCUAGUUUUGGGUCGUCGGAGGAAGAACUUAGUUGCUUGACAUUUUGAGGUAUUUCAGGAUCAUCCGUU